This 2970-nucleotide unclassified non-coding RNA is filed under the name Leishmania donovani. RNAcentral's name for it is "gene:LdHU3.23.1650(CDS-product:hypothetical_prote in_conserved)". The record is from RNAcentral. Lineage: Eukaryota; Euglenozoa; Kinetoplastea; Trypanosomatida; Trypanosomatidae.
GCUCCGUGAAGGUCUCUCCACUCGCACGCGCGCACGUUCUCGCAGACCUCUUUUCUCUCUCUCGCUGGCGCCCAGCUACGCAAACUUGCUCCCUCACUCACGCGUGGACGCUCGUCCCCGCCUUCCUCGCCUUCUUUGAGCGCCGCCGCCAAGCUGUCGUAGCGGCUGUGGCUCUGAGCGACACUGGGGCGGCGUGCAUGUGUAGAUCAUUACCACUCUGAGUCGAAGCUACGACGUGCUCGGCCUGGGCGCGCACCAAACAGCAAGAGCGGAACACGAAGACUGGCGCAGCCGACAGACAUGCAGCUUCCCGCAUAAUCACUUCAUUUUACUCUACUUACCCAUUGAAGAGAGAUCCCGCCACCCUCAUCGACACGAUUCGCAGUCUUCGACAGUGAAAGAUGCCGCGUCCUGCGGCCCACACGUCGGCCAAGGAGCGUCAGAACUUACGGCAGCACUACUACGCCACCUCGGAGCAAGAGGCGGGGCUGGCACACUUGUGGCACAUGCAGCGGCUGGCCGAGAUACGUCUAAGUCCCUCCCACACGAUUCAGGAUGUGCCUGAAGUAGAUUUUCAGCAACCAGGUGACCCCACCACGGACCACUACAGACAGCUCUACGCCGAUCGCUAUGCCCAGCAAGUGCGGCACGAUGAGGCUCACAUCUAUGCUCAGAAUGUGAAGAUACUGCAUCAGAUUCUCCUCGCCAGUGACGACAUGGCGCGCAAAGGACGCAACAUGAACCUCUUCCCGACCUCUGCGCAGGUCUGCCUCUUCGACAACAUCGAGAAACAGACGGCGCACCGCUUGCGGCAUCGCCAGAUGCGGCAGCGGCAAAUCGCGCAGGAAAAUGAGAGGCUUCUCUUGCAUCUCAUUUCCGUGUCCCCAAGCCUGCGCACCGCCAAGGAGCUCGGCACAUGGUACACCACGGUUCACAAGAAGCGCGUGCAGCAGCUCUCACGAUUCAAGCCCGCUGAGCAGUUUGCCGGCGAGCGAGUACUAAAGGCAGCCACCAGAAAACGGCUCUCCCACGGUUGCGGUGGUGGUGCUGCGGUGGCACCGUACCCGAUGACCUCGGAGCUUGCUACAGCCCCUCCACUGCUGCGUGGACACCCUUAUCCGCCGCUCUCGAUCGCCGAAGCGUCGUGCACUGCUCCAGCCUCGCUGCUGCCGGCCGUGCGCACCACGUCCUACGGAGGUGUGCCGCUUGUGCUGGAGGAUUCCGUAGGAAGCCUUGACGGUGCAGAUGACUGCAGCGGCGAUGCCACAGCAGCGGGGUACGCGGCUUCCCUGCAUCAUUCCCCGAAGCGGCUGCGAGGUACGUCUCGCCCCGACUGGCAGCCCAUCUCUGCCACGGACAUUCCUUUGUUGCAUUACGCGGCCGAUCUACAACUGCGCCGCGAAGGCGGCGGUGGCACCUCCACACGCGCGAGGGGAAGCGGUCGCACUUUUUCUGCUUCUCAGCAGCGACGAGGGAUGCAUGAUCGAGUGCAUGACACUCACAGAGAGUUGAACGUCUCGGGCCCGCAAGGCCACACGACCGCGUCUCCUACUGUGCCCCGCGUUACGCCAAGCGAAGAAGGGGGCGUGACUCAGAUGUGGCGUCACGCGCUGCAGCGACGUCAUGACCGAAUCGUAGCAGCCCAAACCGACACCAACCCAUACGCGGCGCCGCCAGGGCGGCCCUUCACGCCCGCAUUGCAGACGCGAUAUGAGGCAUCCGCGGACGGUGGCUGGAAAGCCAAUGACGGCUGCUUCGUGCAGCGUUGUCUUCCUGCACAGGGUCCGGGAGGUGCACCACCUCUUUCCUCGCCACAGACAGCCCCAGCAGCCCAACCUGGAAGACGCUUCGUUCCUGCGGCCCCAUCCGAGCCGUUUAGCAGCGGCUAUCGACGCAGACCAUUCAGUUCACCAGAAAGCGCCUCGCCAGCACCGGUGCCAAUCAAGCGGAGCGGAUUGAUAACAACGGCGUGCGUCACCACCUCAAGCCAAGCCGACAGAUCAACAGCGGCGGAGACGGCGGAAGCGUUGCUACGGCGUUGGGAGUCGAGCAGGGGUGCAUACGCACCCAUUUGAUAGCGACGCAGGGCGCGUCGGUGCAAAAGAGCAGCCUUCUUACGUCCUCAUCAACACGCAUGGGUGUCUCUAAGUCCGGGUGGGUCACCGGCACAGCGCAUCCUUCCAUUUCGGCGUCAUCUUCUGAUCCUCCACCUAACUCAGAGGAUGAGACAGUGCGCAUGUGUGAGGCGCAUGCGUUGCGCGAGAUGGCGUAUCUCCCCCCUCACGCGGUGUCACGUGCUCCGCUCUUUCGCGUUUUUUUUCGGCUUUUCUCAUUUCUGAUGGGCUUCCCCACCCGCCUCAACGUGUCGCGCCCCCCCCCUCUUUAUCUCGCCCUCUGUGUGUCUGCACUACUCCCUUGAAGACCGUGUUUCAUCUCCGUGAUCGCGCACACAGAGACAGACACACGCACGCACACGCACCCUUACGCUGGCCACGUAGCACACGCACGCCUGCUCAGAGCCGCCUAUAUCCUCCUUGAUAAGGGGCACCCGAACAUAAUAUAAACACAAGGCCCCAGCGCGACGAGAAAAAUGCACGAGCAGGAGACAUGACCCGCGCGCUCAUCCCUUUCCUUCUGUGCCCACUCUGUCUUUCCAUAUAUGCAAUCUGCGCCGUUUGGUGCUUGGCAUCAUGUACACUAUCCUUUGUAUCCUUGGCCUUUACGUAUACGAGCUGCUGAUAUGACGACUCUUCUCUUGCGCCUUUCCUAUUUCGAAAGGGUUGAACUUCGAUAUAUAUCUGCAUACAUAUGUAUAUGUGUGUGUGUGUGUGUGUGCACGUCGACUUCUCUCGUUGGGAGAUGCUCACUGUGCGAAGCCUCAUUUUAACAUCUGCGGUGCUUUCGGCUCUCUCUAGCUGCCCGCUAGCUCUCCUUUUCGUAAUUCUUCUCUUUCUCUUACCACCACCUUUC